UCCAUACAACAGCCCUAAACUUUGGGAUUUAAUAUCUGCCCCACUUUCUCUUGCUGCAGGAAGCAGAUUAGGUGACAUAGCUGGAGAAAAGGGAUCUACAUGGCCCUAUUGAGCAGGGGAAAACCCCAGAGGUGGCUUCCAACCUAAACCACCCUAUAAUGCUGUGAAAGCCUUUGUGCAGAGGGUCCCAAAGCCACAAUUGUUUGAAGUAUUUGUAGCUGGUGCAUGUAUCAUUUAGCUUGAGACUGCAAGUCAUAGACUAGAGUGUUGCUUUUUUUGAACUAACAGUUGUGCAACAGGUUUUCUUGAAAGCCAAGUUUGCAACAAAUUGCUACCAUCAGAAGUCAAACCUACAAAUUCUAUGGGUUUAAUUAUUGUUUAAAAACAGAGACCAGAAGUGGGAUAUUUGGUUGAUAUUUAGCAGAAUACAUAACACUUCCGAGGUCACACUUUGCUAAGUGUGUACAUCUAUCUCUAAAUGGCCUUGUGUUUUGCAAAGUAGGAAGUGUUGGUUUUUUAAGUCAAGACGCUGGUGUUUUGGAACUCAUUAGUUUGUACUGAUGCAGGGAUAGCUUGUUGUGGACUUGCUUGUUAACUUGUAACAGCACAGAUGCAGGAUUGCUCCGCUUUGCUAGUGGCAGCAAAAUUAAUUUUAGCUGCUGCUUGUGCCUAUGGGAAGGAUGACUGAAAAAGGGGGUGGGAUGUAGUACCUCCUUCCUUUUCUUCCCAAGCUGUAGAGUAGCAGGAAAGGAAAUACAUAGCUCAUAACUCUGCCCCUAUGACAUCAACCAGCAGAACUUCUUCUUCCAGAAAUCUUCAUGGAGACUCAAGCUACUGUGUCACUCUGGUUUGCACAAGCAGGCAGAGCCACACCUGAAUUUAUGGCUGUGUGUGGGGAUUUGCCCAGGUCAGUGUUGCUGCAGAGCCAGAAGAGGGAGCACAGACAUUGCCGCUUCUUGAUCAUGCUUUUAGAGGCAACUUGGAAUAUUUCCAGAGGAAAAUCACUUAACUUGUUUUAAGACCUGUGAGGAAAGUAAAGCUUCUCAAAAUGGAUGCUUAUCAGAAGUGAUGAAUCAUAGUGGAUGAAGGGAAGACAGUUAUGUUAAAUGCUGACAUGACAAGAACACAGGAUUUUCUCAGGAGCUAAUCUGAAAAACUAUGUCCUAGAAUAAUCACAUCGACCCAUCUUGUGUAUCUGUGAUGUGUGGUGUGACAGAAAAACACCUCUUCCAAAAACUCCUCUUUUCCCGCUAGAGGGAGGACUCUCACAAAAUACUCUUGGGAGACUGUUCCCCUGACUGAGACUCUUCAACUCUAAACAAACCUUUCUGGGAAUGUUUUCAUCUAAUGGUAAGGACUAUCCUGCAAUGAAGUUAUAUGUAAUGAAAAGUAAUGAAAUUAAAUUUCUGUCAUGUUUUGAAAAAAAAUAAGGACUGGAUAUUGGAAUUUGCUCUUCUUCCCCUUUUUUUUUAAAAAAAAAGGUAGGUAUGUUAUGUAGGUAUGUAUUUGCUGGGGUUUAAUUUAAAAAAGCCAACCAAUCCUAUGCACAUUCUGAGGAGUGAAGCUUACAGAAUUUUAAAUAUAUAAUUCUUGGAAAUGUAAGAAUAAACAGAAUUUGUACACAGGUAUUUGUAUCUUCAUUAUCAGCCAUAUUAAUAUGUCCACAAAAUUUUUGCCUCAAUAAACCUUGAAGCCAAGCACUUCCACCAGCAUAUAGUAAAUAUGUUGUUCAACUAAAAAUAGCAAUUACUGCAAACAGUAUUCAUGUGGGAAUGAUAUAUACUAUAAAUAUACUAAGAUACAUGUGGAUCAGUUUAAUCUAAUCAAGUAUAUGUAAACAAACCAAUGGACAGAGCUUUGAAAGGAGAAAGUAGGAUGAAAAGAAAAAGAA
Molecule: long non-coding RNA, 1891 nt
Organism: Parus major (Great Tit)
Lineage: Eukaryota; Metazoa; Chordata; Aves; Passeriformes; Paridae
Exons: 4
Source: RefSeq, a predicted model, not a curated record